This 268-nucleotide ribosomal RNA is filed under the name uncultured bacterium. RNAcentral describes it as "partial 16S ribosomal RNA". The record is from RNAcentral.
CUGCUGCCUCCCGUAGGAGUUUGGACCGUGUCUCAGUUCCAAUGUGGGGGACCUUCCUCUCAGAACCCCUACUGAUCGUCGCCCCGGUAGGCCGUUACCCCGCCGGCAAGCUAAUCAGACGCAUCCCCAUCCUUUACCGGCCGAAGCCUUUGGUCAUGAAAAUAUGCAUCAACAUGACAACAUACGGUAUUAAUCCGCCUUUCGACGGGCUGUCCCAUAGUAAAGGGCAGGUUGGAUACGCGUUACUCACCCGUGCGCCGGUCGCCAU